UACGUAGGGUGCAAGCGUUAAUCGGAAUUACUUGGCGUAAAGCGUGCGCAGGCGGCUUUGCAAGACAGAUGUGAAAUCCCCGGGCUUAACCUGGGAACUGCAUUUGUGACUGCAUGGCUGGAGUGCGGCAGAGGGGGAUGGAAUUCCGCGUGUAGCAGUGAAAUGCGUAGAUAUCGGGAGGAACACCAGUGGCGAAGGCGGAGACCUGGGCCGAUACUGACGCUGAGGUGCGAAAGCGUGGGGAGCAAACAGG
RNAcentral lists this ribosomal RNA (253 nucleotides) under uncultured bacterium. RNAcentral's name for it is "partial 16S ribosomal RNA". It matches the Rfam family "Bacterial small subunit ribosomal RNA", at positions 524 to 776 of the family's 1533-position model. The record is from RNAcentral.